Molecule: small RNA, 21 nt
Filed under: Arabidopsis thaliana (thale cress)
Lineage: Eukaryota; Viridiplantae; Streptophyta; Magnoliopsida; Brassicales; Brassicaceae
Description: ATSL228090
Source: RNAcentral
UUUUGUUUUUCUUCUUUUCCU